UGGGGAAUUUUGGACAAUGGGCGCAAGCCUGAUCCAGCCAUGCCGCGUGAGUGAUGAAGGCCCUAGGGUUGUAAAGCUCUUUCACCGGUGAAGAUAAUGACGGUAACCGGAGAAGAAGCCCCGGCUAACUCCGUUCCAGCAGCCGCGGUAAUACGAAGGGGGCUAGCGUUGUUCGGAUUUACUGUGCGUAAAGCGCACGUAGGCGGACUUUUAAGUCAGGGGUGGAAUCCCGGGGCUCAACCCCGGAACUGCCUUUGAUACUGGAAGUCUUGAGUAUGGUAGAGGUGAGUGGAAAUCCGGGUGUAGAGGUGAAAUUCGUAGAUAUUCGGGGGAACACCAGUGGCGAAGGCGGCUCACUGGGCCAUUAAUUACGCUGAGGUGCGAAAGCGUGGGGAGCUAACAGG
RNAcentral lists this ribosomal RNA (404 nucleotides) under Actinomycetes bacterium. Its description in RNAcentral is "Actinobacteria bacterium partial 16S ribosomal RNA". It matches the Rfam family "Bacterial small subunit ribosomal RNA", at positions 355 to 776 of the family's 1533-position model. Lineage: Bacteria; Bacillati; Actinomycetota; Actinomycetes. The record is from RNAcentral.